RNAcentral lists this transfer RNA (73 nucleotides) under Mus musculus (house mouse). RNAcentral describes it as "tRNA-Ser". The stretch from base 8 to 65 matches the Rfam family "tRNA", at positions 8 to 63 of the family's 71-position model. From Rfam's summary of the family: Transfer RNA (tRNA) molecules are approximately 80 nucleotides in length. Their secondary structure includes four short double-helical elements and three loops (D, anti-codon, and T loops). The record is from RNAcentral. Lineage: Eukaryota; Metazoa; Chordata; Mammalia; Rodentia; Muridae.
GAGAUGAUGGCUCAGUGGUUAAGAGCACUGACUGCUCUUCCAGAGGUCCUGAGUUCAAAUCUCAGCAACCACA